CCAAGGAGUCUAACAUGCAUGCGAGUCUACGGGGAACUGCAAACCCCAAAGGCGUAAUGAAGGUGAAGCAGGUCCACCUGUCUUGGCAGGAUCCCGGCUCCCAGCGAGCCCGGGCUGCACUGCCGGCCCGUCCAACGAUCGCCCCGUCGAUCGGGCGGAGCUAGAGCAUGCAUGUUGGGACCCGAAAGAUGGUGAACUAUGCCUGGGCAGGACGAGGCCAGAGGAAACUCUGGUGGAAGUCCGUAGCGAUUCUGACGUGCAAAUCGAUCGUCGGACCUGGGUAUAGGGGCGAAAGACUAAUCGAACCAUCUA
Molecule: ribosomal RNA, 312 nt
Filed under: Narceus americanus
Lineage: Eukaryota; Metazoa; Arthropoda; Diplopoda; Spirobolida; Spirobolidae
Description: eukaryotic LSU rRNA
Rfam family: Eukaryotic large subunit ribosomal RNA
Source: RNAcentral